AGUUGAGCAAAAGUAAUGACUUUGAGUAACUUGAGCCAGAUGGUCACCAGAGGAGAGCCCAGUAUUUGGUGCCAGUGGGCAGGAAGAACUUGCUAAGAGACUUGCUGAACUUGAGCUCAGCCGGGAGUUCCUGAGCGCAUUAGGAGAUGAUCAAGACUGGUUUGAUGAAGACUUUGGUUUGAGCUCUUCUCACAAGAUCCAAAAAAAUAAGGCAGAAGAAACCAUUGUACCUCUAAUGGCAGAACCUAAAAGAGUAACCCAACAACCAUGUGAAACAUUAUUGGCAGUCCCCCAUACUGCAGAAGAAGUAGAAAUUCUUGUACAUAAUGCAGCAGAAGAACUUUGGAAAUGGAAAGAAUUGGGCCACGAUCUUCAUAGCAUCAGUAUUCCUACAAAACUGCUUGGCUGUGCCAGUAAAGGUCUAGAUAUAGAAAGCACUAGUAAAAGGGUCUACAAACAGGCGGUUUUUGAUUUAACAAAAGAGAUUUUUGAGGAAAUAUUUGCUGAGGAUCCCAACUUAAAUCAACCUGUCUGGAUGAAGCCAUGUAGAAUCAACUCUAGUUAUUUCCGACGAGUGAAAAAUCCAAAUAACCUUGAUGAAAUCAAGAGCUUCAUAGCAAGUGAAGUACUCAAGUUGUUCAGUCUUAAAAAGGAGCCAAACCACAAAACAGAUUGGCAGAAAAUGAUGAAAUUUGGAAGAAAGAAAAGAGACCGAGUGGAUCAUAUCCUGGUUCAGGAGCUCCAUGAGGAGGAGGCACAGUGGGU
This 765-nucleotide small RNA is filed under the name Pongo abelii (Sumatran orangutan). RNAcentral's name for it is "processed transcript". The record is from RNAcentral. Lineage: Eukaryota; Metazoa; Chordata; Mammalia; Primates; Hominidae.